This 253-nucleotide ribosomal RNA is filed under the name uncultured bacterium. Its description in RNAcentral is "partial 16S ribosomal RNA". It matches the Rfam family "Bacterial small subunit ribosomal RNA", at positions 334 to 584 of the family's 1533-position model. The record is from RNAcentral.
CAGGCCUACGGGGGGCAGCAGUGAGGAAUAUUGGUCAAUGGGCGGAAGCCUGAACCAGAAAAGUAGCGUGCAGGAUGACGGCCCUACGGGUUGUAAACUGCUUUUAUACGGGAAUAACGCGCCUUACGUGUAGGGCUUUGCAUGUACCGUAUGAAUAAGGACCGGCUAACUCCGUGCCAGCAGCCGCGGUAAUACGGAAGGUCCGGGCGUUAUCCGGAUUUAUUGGGUUUAAAGGGAGCGUCGGCCGCAUGUC